Molecule: ribosomal RNA, 671 nt
Filed under: Salmonella enterica subsp. enterica serovar Bovismorbificans
Lineage: Bacteria; Pseudomonadati; Pseudomonadota; Gammaproteobacteria; Enterobacterales; Enterobacteriaceae
Description: partial 23S ribosomal RNA
Rfam family: Bacterial large subunit ribosomal RNA
Source: RNAcentral
GGGUUGUGAGGUUAAGCGACUAAGCGUACACGGUGGAUGCCCUGGCAGUCAGAGGCGAUGAAGGGCGUGCUAAUCUGCGAUAAGCGCCGGUAAGGUGAUAUGAACCGUUAUAACCGGCGAUACCCGAAUGGGGAAACCCAGUGUGACUCGUCACACUAUCAUUAACUGAAUCCAUAGGUUAAUGAGGCGAACCGGGGGAACUGAAACAUCUAAGUACCCCGAGGAAAAGAAAUCAACCGAGAUUCCCCCAGUAGCGGCGAGCGAACGGGGAGGAGCCCAGAGCCUGAAUCAGCAUGUGUGUUAGUGGAAGCGUCUGGAAAGGCGCGCGAUACAGGGUGACAGCCCCGUACACAAAAGCGCAUGUGCUGUGAGCUCGAUGAGUAGGGCGGGACACGUGGUAUCCUGUCUGAAUAUGGGGGGACCAUCCUCCAAGGCUAAAUACUCCUGACUGACCGAUAGUGAACCAGUACCGUGAGGGAAAGGCGAAAAGAACCCCGGCGAGGGGAGUGAAAAAGAACCUGAAACCGUGUACGUACAAGCAGUGGGAGCACCCUUUGGGGUGUGACUGCGUACCUUUUGUAUAAUGGGUCAGCGACUUAUAUUCUGUAGCAAGGUUAACCGAAUAGGGGAGCCGGAGGGAAACCGAGUCUUAAUUGGGCGUUAAGUUGCAG